This 993-nucleotide ribosomal RNA is filed under the name uncultured Sulfurospirillum sp. RNAcentral's name for it is "bacterial SSU rRNA". It matches the Rfam family "Bacterial small subunit ribosomal RNA", at positions 382 to 1390 of the family's 1533-position model. The record is from RNAcentral. Lineage: Bacteria; Pseudomonadati; Campylobacterota; Epsilonproteobacteria; Campylobacterales; Sulfurospirillaceae.
UCUGAUGCAGCAACGCCGCGUGGAGGAUGACGCAUUUCGGUGUGUAAACUCCUUUUAUAAGGGAAGAUAAUGACGGUACCUUAUGAAUAAGCACCGGCUAACUCCGUGCCAGCAGCCGCGGUAAUACGGAGGGUGCAAGCGUUACUCGGAAUCACUGGGCGUAAAGGAUGCGUAGGCUGGAAAUCAAGUCGAGAGUGAAAUCCAACGGCUCAACCGUUGAACUGCUCUCGAAACUGGUUACCUAGAAUAUGGGAGAGGUAGAUGGAAUUGGUGGUGUAGGGGUAAAAUCCGUAGAUAUCACCAGGAAUACCGAUUGCGAAGGCGAUCUACUGGAACAUUAUUGACGCUGAGGCAUGAAAGCGUGGGGAGCAAACAGGAUUAGAUACCCUGGUAGUCCACGCCCUAAACGAUGCACACUAGUUGUUGCGAUGCUAGUCAUUGCAGUAAUGCACUUAACAGAUUAAGUGUGCCGCCUGGGGAGUACGGUCGCAAGAUUAAAACUCAAAGGAAUAGACGGGGACCCGCACAAGCGGUGGAGCAUGUGGUUUAAUUCGAAGAUACACGAAGAACCUUACCUGGCCUUGAUAUCCUAAGAAUCCUUUAGAGAUAAGGGAGUGCUAGUUUACUAGAACUUAGAGACAGGUGCUGCACGGCUGUCGUCAGCUCGUGUCGUGAGAUGUUGGGUUAAGUCCCGCAACGAGCGCAACCCUCGUGAUUAGUUGCUAACAGUUCGGCUGAGCACUCUAAUCAGACUGCCUUCGCAAGGAGGAGGAAGGUGAGGACGACGUCAAGUCAUCAUGGCCCUUAUGGCCAGGGCUACACACGUGCUACAAUGGCUAGGACAAAGAGACGCGAUACUGCGAAGUGGAGCAAAUCUUAAAACCUAGUCUCAGUUCGGAUUGGAGUCUGCAACUCGACUCCAUGAAGCUGGAAUCGCUAGUAAUCGUAGAUCAGAUAUGCUACGGUGAAUACGUUCCCGGGUCUUGUACUCAC